RNAcentral lists this ribosomal RNA (497 nucleotides) under uncultured bacterium. RNAcentral describes it as "partial 16S ribosomal RNA". It matches the Rfam family "Bacterial small subunit ribosomal RNA", at positions 28 to 507 of the family's 1533-position model. The record is from RNAcentral.
GAUGAACGCUGGCGGCGUGCCUAAUACAUGCAAGUCGAGCGAACAGAUGAGGAGCUUGCUCCUCUGACGUUAGCCGCGGACGGGUGUGUAACACGUGUAUAACCUACCUAUAAUACGGGUAUAACUUCGGGAAACCGGAGCUAAUACCGGAGAAUAUAUUGAACCGCAUGGGUCGAUAGUAAAAGACGGUGUUGCUGUCACGUAUAGAUGGAUCCGCGCCGCAUUAGAUAGUUGGUAAGGUAACAGCUUACCAAGGCGACCAUGCGUAGCCGACCUGAGAGGGUGAUCGGCCACACUGGAACGGAGACAGGGUCAAGACUACUAAGGGACGCAGCAGUAGGCAACGUGACGCAAUAGGCGAAAGUCUGACGGAGUGACGCCGCGUGAGUGGUAACGGCCCUCGGUGCGUAAAAACCUGUUAUUAGGGAUGAACAAAUGUGUACGUAAAUAUGCACGUAUUGACGGUACCGAAUCAGAAAGCACCGGCUAACUACGUG